GGAGUUUUAUUUCAAGUUUAGAAUAUAUCUUUUACAAGGAUAAGGUUUUUAACUCUU
RNAcentral lists this transfer RNA (57 nucleotides) under Strongyloides ratti. RNAcentral describes it as "tRNA SRAE_M000000036". Lineage: Eukaryota; Metazoa; Nematoda; Chromadorea; Rhabditida; Strongyloididae. The record is from RNAcentral.